AUCUUUCCACCCGCGUCUGGUGCUCAUGCGCGGCUCGUCGAGGCCCGCAUAGUCAAACGGGAAACAGGAGCACAAUAGCCCCAGGGCCAAGUGCCAAUCUGUGCUGUCCCCGCAACGGUACGCGACCAGCGGCUCAACCUGCCGCGCAUUCUUUUCACGGCCACUGCGAGGCAACGAGCGGGAAGGCGAACGGAGUGAGGUCGCAAGCCCGGAUACCGGCCAGCGCAAGUGGCAGGCA
Molecule: non-coding RNA, 238 nt
Filed under: Caballeronia telluris
Lineage: Bacteria; Pseudomonadati; Pseudomonadota; Betaproteobacteria; Burkholderiales; Burkholderiaceae
Source: RNAcentral